RNAcentral lists this ribosomal RNA (465 nucleotides) under Vreelandella stevensii. RNAcentral's name for it is "partial 16S ribosomal RNA". It matches the Rfam family "Bacterial small subunit ribosomal RNA", at positions 338 to 795 of the family's 1533-position model. Lineage: Bacteria; Pseudomonadati; Pseudomonadota; Gammaproteobacteria; Oceanospirillales; Halomonadaceae. The record is from RNAcentral.
CCUACGGGAGGCUGCAGUGGGGAAUAUUGGACAAUGGGCGAAAGCCUGAUCCAGCCAUGCCGCGUGUGUGAAGAAGGCCUUCGGGUUGUAAAGCACUUUCAGUGGGGAAGAAAGCCUUGGGGCUAAUACCCUCGAGGAAGGACAUCACCCACAGAAGAAGCACCGGCUAACUCCGUGCCAGCAGCCGCGGUAAUACGGAGGGUGCGAGCGUUAAUCGGAAUUACUGGGCGUAAAGCGCGCGUAGGCGGUCUGAUAAGCCGGUUGUGAAAGCCCCGGGCUCAACCUGGGAACGGCAUCCGGAACUGUCAGGCUAGAGUGCAGGAGAGGAAGGUAGAAUUCCCGGUGUAGCGGUGAAAUGCGUAGAGAUCGGGAGGAAUACCAGUGGCGAAGGCGGCCUUAUGGACUGACACUGACGCUGAGGUGCGAAAGCGUGGGUAGCAAACAGGAUUAGAUACCCGUGUAGUC